Long non-coding RNA from Olea europaea var. sylvestris, 1157 nucleotides. RefSeq lists it as uncharacterized. The transcript is spliced from 2 exons. The record is from RefSeq and is a predicted model, not a curated record. NCBI's taxonomy places the organism in Eukaryota, Viridiplantae, Streptophyta, Magnoliopsida, Lamiales, Oleaceae.
GAUCUUACCUAUGAUAAGAUACAUGUUUACUUGAAUGGUUGUUGUCUAUAUAGGAAGGAGCUUGAACAUGCAGAAUUAUGUCUAAAAUGUGGUUGUUAUAAAUAAAAAGUUAACCAAUGGACUAAGAAAUUUCAAAAAAAUAAAAGUAAAAUUCUAGCAAAAGUCUUGUAUUAUUUCCCUAUCAUACCAAGAUCUAAGAGGAUGUUCGGAAUAGAUGGAAUGCCAACACAACUUAAAUGACACUCAAAUAAUAAAAGUUUCUUUUUUGAUAUAAUGUUUAUUUAACAAUCCAUAUGGAAGAGAAGCUUGUCUAUGUGGAUCAGUUCAAUAUUGUUGGAUGUACCCAUUUGAGAGGUGGUAUUCCUUAACUUAUCAUAGUAGUUAAAUUCACUAUCAAAUUUAUUUUUAUUUUAUUAGAUUUUUGGAAAAUGUGUAGAUAUAUGAAAGUGUUGAAAGAAUACGUCAUGAAUCGUUCAUGACCUGAAGGAUGCAUAGCUGAAUGAUAUAUUGUUGAAAAAAAUGCAUUGUUUUGUAGCAAAUACAUUAAACAAGCAUUUGAAAUAGGCUCUAAGUUUGCGUGCAAUGAAGAAUAUGAAAGUGACUUCUUAGUUGCAGGGUGUACAAGUUCUAAAAGGAAGCCACUUGUACUAUUUGAUGAGAUGCUGAAAGUUGCCCCUUGCUAUGUGCUGCUAAAUAGUAUAGAAGUGGCUCUAUACGUAUAGUAUGUUCAUGACAUAUCUACUUUGUUAGGUUUUAAGUUCUUCGACCAUAUUAAUUUCUUGAUAUAUUGUUUUCCACUUAGGACGCAUAUGGAUGAACUCAAGAGUUUUGACAAAUGACUUCAAAGAAAUGAGAAUUUGUUGUAUAAGAAACAUAUUGACACUUUUGCUGCCUGGUUGGACGAUAAGAUUACAGGUCAAUUGUUUCUCGACAAUGUUGCAAAUACUUUAAAGUGGCUUGCACGUGGCCCUAGAUGCCAGUCUGUCAUAUUCUAGUUUUGUAAUAAAUGGUCUUCAAUUUUACACGAAAGAUGCAGAAAAGUCUUGCCAAAAUAGUGGUAUCUUAGUUGAAGCAACAACCAUUUGUAGAUCUAGUGCAAAAGAUAAUGCACAUGUUGUUGGGAAAGUUCUUUAACAUGGAGUUCUCUUGCCUUCUUC